UACGGAGGGUGCGAGCGUUGUUCGGAAUCACUGGGCGUAAAGCGCGUGUAGGCGGCCCACUAAGUCUGAUGUGAAAGCCCGGGGCUCACCCCCGGAAGUGCAUUGGAAACUGGUGGACUCGAGUCCCGGAGAGGAGAGUGGAAUUCCUGGUGUAGCGGUGAAAUGCGUAGAUAUCAGGAAGAACACCCGUGGCUAAGGCGGUUCUCUAGUACGGUACUGACGCUGAGACGCGAAAGCGUGGGGAGCGAACAGG
RNAcentral lists this ribosomal RNA (253 nucleotides) under uncultured bacterium. RNAcentral's name for it is "partial 16S ribosomal RNA". It matches the Rfam family "Bacterial small subunit ribosomal RNA", at positions 524 to 776 of the family's 1533-position model. The record is from RNAcentral.